UUCUACACCGGCAGAAGAAGCUACUGCUGUUAAAAGACCUGGAAUGGAACUACGGAGACGGGUACAAUGCCUCUGCCUGCCUUCCCCUGCCGUAGGAUUGGUCGGUUGCCAACCUCUCCUCGUCCAACUCCGUCUCUCCUGGAUCGCUUGUCACCAGGUAUCCCAGCCCCCACUGGGUUUUCUCUUGCCACCACGUUUCCGUAAUGCCUGUAGCACCGAGCUCCGUCCAUCGCCAGGCGUCUCGUCCACCGCAGUUUGGCUGCGAGCUUCUCCCAUGAGGACCCAGACAUUUAUCGCUUUGAUUCUUGGCCAGGUUUAGCAUUGAUGCAAUUUUAUUUGACUCCUUAAUCCAACUCCUGGGCCGGGCACAUGCUUCCUUGGUUAUGUAGGCUGAGCUGUACCCCCUGCUCGCUCUGAAGUGAGGGACCCAGCUGGGGGGCGGAGGGGCCCAGCUGGAGGGAUGGUCAUAGUGGGGGGUAAGGGGUCCAGUUGGGUGUACAGCUCGGCCAUAGCAAUGAAGCGUGUGACCCCUGUGUGUAGACAGCAGCAGAGAGUCACCGCCUAGGCCCCCACUGUGGGCUAGGCCCUGAACAGCAGAGAAACAUCCCUGCCCCAAACAGCUUUCUAAGUGACUCUCUUGCGUGGCCUCAGCCCCUUCCUGCUCCAGGCCAGCUGUGCUUUGCUCCCUACCCGGGACUGGGCACUCGGAGACGGCUGGCUGUGUUACUGCCGUCUUUAGCCACCGCCUCUGCCCGACUCAGGUGCUGCCACGCCGGCCGCCCGCCCCCAGCUCUUCCAUCAAACGCGCCCCUGACACAUGCCAGCUGCCUGGCUCCACUUUGCUUCAUGGGGGUCCCUUCCCCCUCCCCAUGGACUGCCCCUGCCCCAAAAUGUUCCCUGGAGCCCAAUGAACAGAACCCUCCUCACCUGUUUUCCCAGCGUGCAGUGGGACCUGGCAGCCCCCCUCCCUGGCUGCACCUGCCGGCCGCCUGAGGCAGCUCCCCCAGCAUGAACCCAGGUCGGCUCUUGGCUGCUCAUCUCUUUACCCGUGAGGAUCUGCCAGGGGGGUUGUGCUGGUUGACAGGCCCUUGGAGGAUCCAGCCAAUGUGGCAGGGUCCUGCUCUUCCUCCAGGGCAGGCCCCACAGCCUCUGGGCUCCAGCCUGCCUGCUUGGCACUGUGAGCUCUACCUCCGUUCGCUGUCCCUGCGCAGAGGUGGGGUGGGGGACCCUUCCGGUGGCUGGGUGUGAAUGUUCUCGGAUGCUGAUACGGGGUCGCUUUCAGCAGGUUCCAACCAGCUCCUUAACGACCCAUCCAUUGCGCCCCAGACCGCCAGGCAACCCCCACACCUCACGUCUCCUGCGCCGGCCCAAAGCAGACUUACCCCUUCUCCCCGCACUGGGGAGCAGUGCAAAGCCUAGCAGGAAACUGAGGCACACAUGGGAUCCAUAAAAAUAUGACCAAAAAUUCCCUCUUCAUCCUAGGAGCAUUAGUCCCAUUCUGCAGACAGGGAAUCUGAAGCUCGGAGAAGGGAAAUGACUCCCCCCAAGCUGGGAAUCAAUCUCUGGAUCCAAGUCUGGUGCUCUAGGCAUUACUGACACUGCCUCCCUAUACAGUGGGGGGUUAGUGCUAAUGUGUUUUGAGAGAUUUGGGCCCAGCUCCCCCAGAGCACCUCCUGCUCCCGCCGAGUCAGACCUGAAAACCAGGCACCAUGGAGGGGUGGGACUGGAAUUUCCCAGCACCCUCUGGGGCAUCUCUCCAACUCCAUAUGCCAGCCUCCCAGGUGCUACAGAACUCUGGACAGAGAGGCCCUCUGGGUGCCCCUGGUGCUGUUACCGGGCCUGGCUGGCAUUGCCACUGUUGCCACAGGCCACCUCUUCCCAUCCAGUAGCCAAGAAAGCAGCUGCGGCCGGGUGCGUGUGUAAGUCAUUCUUCAGGAGCAGAGCUGGCCAGAACUCGGGGGAUGGCUCCCGAGACUUUUUGGUCUCCCAGAUGUGAUCUGAGCCAGAACAGAAGCAAAUUUACCAACUUUCUUGGCCAGCCGACGAGCCCAUCAAAUGUUGUUUUGUAAAUGCCAAACUGGGGUGGUCCUGGAAGGAAAUAGGUGAAAACUGGUCUCUCUCCCCGACAGACGUGGGUCCAAUAAAAGAUCUUCCCUCCCUCACCUUGUCUCUCUUAGAA
This is a non-coding RNA of Chrysemys picta bellii (western painted turtle), 2179 nucleotides long. The record is from RefSeq and is a predicted model, not a curated record. NCBI's taxonomy places the organism in Eukaryota, Metazoa, Chordata, Testudines, Emydidae.